Hyla sarda is the source of this 593-nucleotide long non-coding RNA. RefSeq lists it as uncharacterized. The record is from RefSeq and is a predicted model, not a curated record. The transcript has 3 exons. Lineage: Eukaryota; Metazoa; Chordata; Amphibia; Anura; Hylidae.
CGAUUGGUUGCUAUAGGCACCUCAGCAACUUUUCCUCUGGACAGGUUUUGAUAAAUCUCCCCCUUGAUGCUCAUUUGGAUACAUGGAAAAUGCUAAUUGUUCAGCUCACAAGCAGAAGUUCAUAUAGCUAAAGGUGAAUGUGGUUUGGGCCGAAGAGAAGAUUAUUUGUAUAGUGAACAUCAUGCUGUGAUUUUACCUAUGUAUUUGCCCCUGCCCUUGGGAAAAAACACACGUCUGUUCGCAAAUAUUGUGAGGAAUGAUGACAUCAAUAUGAAGCCAAGUCCAGAGAUAUGUUCAUGUGAUCUACCAUGAUUCCUCUAUGAGACUCUAUUACUAUAUUGUAUCCUAUUGUUAUGUCUUGCAAUUUGUCAGUAUUUCUUGUUUGUAUGUUGCUGACACAUGUAGCUUGAUAUAAUCUUAUGCACAUACCAGUAUAAUUCUCCAGGUACACACCACAGGGGUGUGGAAAUGUAAUAAAAGACUACUUGUCCAUGGGACUAAAACGAAGCAAAAUCUACUUGUCCCUCAUGACGAUCCACUUGUCCCUCAUGACGAUCCACUUGUCCGGGCCAAAUUUCGCUUUUACACUCUAA